CAGUUUUCUUUAUUAAUCAUUUAGUCCCUCCACACACAUUACAUAAAUACAUAUACAUCCAAACAAUUUAAAAUAUUCCAUUGGGUCAAGAAUCUAAAAACUUCUGGAUUACAGCAGACCUAAAAAAGGAGAAGUAAGAAGAAUGUACAAGAAAUUGGUACAUCCAGGAUGCCUGAGGAGGGGAACUUGAGAACAGAAGUGGGAGGCUUUUCAUCAUUUAUUCUUUUGUAUCUUUUGAAUUUUUUUUGCCACAUGCAUUUAUUACCUCUUCAGUUUAAACAUUUUUUUAAGCAAGAGAAGAGUUUUCCUUUCUUUUUCUUCUACCAAAGCCUCUCUGCGGCUCAUUUCCUGGGGGUAGAGGAGACUGUGCUAGGAUUGGCAUCAUGCACUGGAAGCCAACCCUCAGCCCAGGCCCAGCCCAAGACCAGUCCUAGCCCUCCAGCUGGGUUGGCCAACAGCCCUGCUCCCCUGCCUGCACCAUGUGCAUGGAGGGGUUCUGUGGGUGGGCACCACUGUUGGCUGCCCUUGCCACUGGCACUCCGGCUGUCAAACUGGUAUAGAGACUCCAUUCAAGGCAUUCCAGGAAGGGGCUAGCCCUCCUGGCUCCAGCUGCCUGGUGGGCAAAGGGGCCCGAGAGUCCAGCAAAUGGGGAAGUAUGUACAUCCAGCUUCAAAUUCUCCAGAUUUUGCCAUUCACUUUCAAAGACAGACUGCUUUUUGUCUUGUUUUGUUUUCUGUUGCUAAUAUAACAUGAGGGCAGGAACAGGAAAGGAAAAUAACAAAAGGACCAGAGAUGCACGGGGAGAAAAGGUCUUUAAAGCUCCCCUUUCUCCUGGCCCCGUCCCCAUGCCACUGGCCUCUGCUGGGCAGAGCUGGGCUGCAGCAUCUCUGGCAGGUCCCACUCCCCUGGUUUUCUCCCCUCGUGGAGCUCCUGCUCAGCUUUCCCUGGUGACAUCUAGCUGCUGCCCGGCCUUCUUUCACCUCCUUCUCUGAUUAUCCCCUUCGAUGAGUGCUGGCUGUCACUUCUGUGUCCCCUACUUCCCUCUACCCCUCCUAUUUCACUGCCACACUGCCCAGAGACAGCCGCCAUCUUUGAGGUCAUUGCCCAGACUGGUGCUGUCACCUGCCCCACAACUGGGAUUGCUCAAGGUAGGGCUCCUCCACCAACUGUUCAAAAUCCCCGUACCGACUUCUUUCCAGGGUCAGCAAAGCCCAGGUGGGGGCAGGUUGUCCUCCAGCAGGCUAUACGAAGGUGCAGGCAAGAGGACAUUCUGAGAAGCCAUGACAGAGUCAGACAAGGAGCAGCAGAUGGAGACACACACUUGAUAGAGUGGACACAAGAGAUGAAAAGAUACAGAGUUAUGAGGAAAAACAGCUUCAGGGAAAGAAAAAGCAGAGAGUGAAAACCAAUAAAAGUGUAAUAGUACUAAAACCAGAAAGGCCUGAAGAGAAACCAUCCAGGGAGCAGCAAGAGGACAGCUGACAUGAGUGGAGUCAGGUCAGAGAGAAGGAGCAGGAGGGCUGGGGCGGGCAGUGUGUGAGGGGCCGGAGGCCGGAUGAGUGGCGCAACAGAAAUCUCUUGGGAAGGGUCAUUCACCUCCCAGGCUAUUGGGCUUAUUGGCUGCAGCGAGCAGAAUCUUUUUCAAACACAGCAAGCAUUUUACCUUGGUCUGCUUCCCUGUCUAGAAAAGGCUGGAGCCAAAGGCUGAGGGAACCAUUCCAGGAUAAGGACCCUGCACGGACAACAGAGCCAGGACCAUGAGAUCCUGGCCCCCUCUGGGAAUCAGCCUGCCUUCCCCUGACACAAGCUGCCAGACCACUAAACUCAGUGUAUUGAUCCAAGUCCCAAAGGCUGUUUGUGUUCUCCACUUCCACUGGGAAAGGCUCGACGACUUCCUUAAUUCUGUCUUCAAGCUUGUCAGAAAGCAGAUGCUGUUCAAAUGUGACAGCUGCUCUAAAGGGAUGCUCCCUGGGAGCUCCCUGACCAGUGGGAAUAUUUGCAAUGAUGACUGAAGAGGCCUUGGGUGACCCGGUAACAGCAAGACAAAGAAGAGAGCACCAAAGGACAUCAAAAAUAAAAUGGCCCCAGGCAAACCAUAUGGGACUUGAAUUGGAAAACACCAACAGCCUCGCUCCUUUCCCUAGACUGUGUAUCUUUGGAGAAGACCUGACUCCUUAACCACCUGCCACGGAGGAGUACCAAAUUAGGCUGGGAGGUAAAAGUGGCUGAGUGAAGCCAGCCAUCCAUCAUGCUUUGGUUUCUGUCUGACUGAGAGGGUUGGGCACGAGAGGUCUUCCUUCCCUGGCUCUUGAGCCUGUAAAUUGUGUAAAGUAUGGUUCCAGGCUGAAUAUAAGUCCUCUGCUCUGCAUGACAUUUAUACUCUUGAAAAACUUAGUGUAUCAAUCAAAUCAAAUUUUGCCUGCCAGAGAAGCUGGCUUUUCAAAAUAAAUUUGAGGUCAAUCCUAUGUUUAAAGAGAAGAACGGCUUGUGAAGCUGAAUAAUCAUCCCAGUUCAUGUCUGUAACUUUGGAAUUUUGAAUGUCUGAUUUGAGUGGCUAUGGGGGGUAGGGAUGAGACUGUCUAGAGAUCCACCUACAGUUUACUUGUAGGUUACAAUUAAGUAUUACUUUAAAACAAAUUAAAAAAUCAGAUAGGUGUGUUGCAGGAGCCCCUACUAAAGAAAUAUGAAUUUUUAAAAAUUGAUCAUGGAAAAUUUCAAAUAUGUAUUUUAAAAGUAGCAAGCCUAAUAUUAAAAAAAAAAAAAAAAACUCCAGAUAUUAUCACCUCCUGGCUAAUCCUGUGAGAAACAUGGACUUUUGCGCCAGGUGACAGAUAUGGAGAAUGAACUUUAUGGGACAGGACAAAUAGGAUUAGUCAUACAAAGCUACAGGUCCAAGUCUCUGCAUAAAUGCCCUAGACUAGAGCCUAGAGUGUAAAGAGAAGAGAAGAGAAAUAUAUUCCUGGUUAAUAACCAAAGAAGAAGGGAUCCCUGGGUGGCGCAGCGGUUUGGCGCCUGCCUUUGGCCCAGGGCAUGAUCCUGGAGACCCGGGAUCGAAUCCCACAUCGGGCUCCCGGUGUAUGGAGCCUGCUUCUCCCUCUACCUGUGUCUCUGCCUCUCUCUCUCUCUCUCUGUGACUAUCAUAAGUAAAUAAAAUAAAAAAAAAAAAAAAAUAAAUAACCAAAGAAGAAAGUUGAGACUUAAAAAAAAAAAAAAAAA
Molecule: long non-coding RNA, 3216 nt
Filed under: Canis lupus familiaris (dog)
Lineage: Eukaryota; Metazoa; Chordata; Mammalia; Carnivora; Canidae
Description: lncRNA (ENSCAFG00845004000.1)
Source: RNAcentral